Molecule: ribosomal RNA, 385 nt
Filed under: uncultured bacterium
Lineage: Bacteria
Description: bacterial SSU rRNA
Rfam family: Bacterial small subunit ribosomal RNA
Source: RNAcentral
AUUGAACGCUGGCGGCAUGCCUUACACAUGCAAGUCGAACGGCAGCACGGGAGCAAUCCUGGUGGCGAGUGGCGAACGGGUGAGUAAUAUAUCGGAACGUGCCCAGUCGUGGGGGAUAACGCAGCGAAAGCUGUGCUAAUACCGCAUACGAUCUAUGGAUGAAAGCGGGGGAUCGCAAGACCUCGCGUGAUUGGAGCGGCCGAUAUCAGAUUAGGUAGUUGGUGGGGUAAAGGCCCACCAAGCCGACGAUCUGUAGCUGGUCUGAGAGGACGACCAGCCACACUGGAACUGAGACACGGUCCAGACUCCUACGGGAGGCAGCAGUGGGGAAUUUUGGACAAUGGGCGCAAGCCUGAUCCAGCAAUGCCGCGUGCAGGAUGAAGGC